UGCUUUCUUUGGUUGUUAUUAUGGGAAGUAACGUUGCAGCUGGUGCAGAAAAGCUUGAAAGUUGCAGAGGAAUAAGCAAUAUUCUUAAGCGAGAUGAGAUGUCAAUAUUCUUGUCCCUCCCAUGUGAAGAGAUUGAAAAAGACAACAGGACAUGGUGGAAAAAACUGGAGGAGACAAGCCUGAUGGAUGUUGAUCUUCCAAAAUGUAGAAACAGCAGCUGCAGCCAACAGGACAUGGUGGAAACUACUGGAGGAGACAAGCCUGAUGGAUGGUGAUCUUCUAAGAUGUGGAAACAGCAGCUGCAGCCAACAGGACUUGGUGGAAGCAACUGGAGGAGACAAGCCUGAUGGAUGUUAACCCCCUUCCCCCCUUCAAGACGUAUCACAGUAGAUAACUGACACUGAUCAGGAUAAGAGAUUGAAAAGAUGCUUGAAGAACUAUCUGGCAGAUUGAAAGGAGCCCUGAAAGCAUGGAAUAUUUCCUCAGUCUAAUUGAUAUUGACUCUGAAAAAGUGCAGCUGGAGACAACAGGACAUGGUGGAAACAACUGGAGGAGGCAAGGCUGAUGGAUGUUGAGGCGAGGUUGAUUGAUGUUAAGGCAAACCUGAUGGAGAAUGAUCUCCCAAGAGGUGGAAACAGCAGUUAUUCUCAACAGGCCCCAAGACCAUAAAAUGAAAUAAAUUUUGAAAUAAUUUUGAUUACAAAACAAAAAUUCCAUGAUUUGUUUGAAUUUAAAUGCUAUACAAAACUGCAAAUGAUUAAGCAAAUAUGUUGCAUGGAUAAAACUCAGGAUACCGUAUUGGGAAAAAAAUGUUCUUGGAGCCAGGACUUGAUGGAAACAACUGGAGGAGACAAGACUGAUGGAUGUUGACAUUCCAAGAUUCGGAAACAGCAGCUGCAGCCAAUAGGAAACAACUGGAGGAGACAAGGCUGAUGGAUGUUAACCUUCCCAACAAGACACAUCACAGUAGAUAACUAACACUGAUCAGGUUAAAGAAGAGACUUCAAAGGAUGGUGUUGAUGAAGUUUUUCUUCAACAAUGUGAAAAAGAGCCUUUGAGCCUAACAGGAAUAUUGGUUGUAACAACUGGAAAAUGCAAUGCUGACAGCUGAUGAUAGGGAAUGAGCAGCGAUAGCCAGACAGGAAUUGGUGCAAAAAACCUGGAAACGGCAAGACUGAUGGAUGUUGACCCUUCAAGAUGUAAAAAUGAGCAGUUACAGUCAGACAGAAAUAAUUGGUAGAAAAACCUGGAGAAUGGCCAGACUGAUGGAUGUGGACCCUCCAAAAUGCAGAAAUGAGCAGCAACAGCCAGACAGGAAUUGGUGAAAACAACUGGAAAAGACAAGACUGAAAGGUGAUGACCUUCCCAACAGUUACACUGUCACUGUUAAGUGUGCUUUGAUGAUAUGGUGACAGUACCCAGUAAGAGAACGCAGAGGAAGUUAUGUUGGUGUGCUUCACAUAAUGAAUAACAAGGAGCCCUCAGAAAAUUAAAGUAUUGAAGAGGCAAAUCCUUGUGAUUGUAUUUGGAGAAAGACAAUGUAGAAAGCCUGAUCUGUGAAGCACACACAAGUACAUCCAAAACAAAUUUUUUUGAAGCAUUUGUUUUGGAAAUGGGUGUCUGAGUUGUAAGAGGGUAUGGGGUCGCCCACUCAGACACGUGGGUUUUCUCCGGGUGCUCCGGUUUCCUCCCACACUGACCCCAUUCUUUUUCUCUAUGCCAAUGAGAUAAUAUGUUAACUUUGAGAAUAUUCUAAUGUAAAUAUCUUUUAUUAUCUAUUGUUUUGCUCUAAUGUUAUUUUAUGUUGUUCAUUAUAUUUUUUAUUAUAAAAUGUUUAGAUGAAGUAGUUGAAAGCUAGUUGUUUAGUAGGCCUUGUCGAUACCCUAGGGCAUUACUGGUUGGAACUUCAUGGGUCCUUGGCCGCUACGGUUGCCAGGCUGGCCUGGGGAGGAGAGGUUGAAAAUGCAACUAGUCGUAGGCUGCUUUGUCUUUAAUAAUCUUUUUAUUUUAUCUGAAAUUAAACAAAUUAAAUAUGCUGCAGAUGUAAUCAUUGUUCAAUAUUAAAUUAGUAUUCCUGUAAUGUACAAUUUCUGUCAGCAGUUGUACCAGUAAUAAUUUGUAUAGUUGAUUCUGAUUAUUAAGUUAUUGUGCAAUUAAAUGAUUGCAUUUACGUGUAUAUAUACUGAUGUGACUAAAUAUGCAGGAAAAGUAAUUGACAAAUUUUGAUGUGAAAUUAUGAUUUGCAUUUGAAAAUGUUAAAUUGGGAUUUGAAAAUGUUAAAUUAUGAUUUGUUAAUGUUAA
Saccostrea echinata is the source of this 2301-nucleotide long non-coding RNA. RefSeq lists it as uncharacterized. NCBI's taxonomy places the organism in Eukaryota, Metazoa, Mollusca, Bivalvia, Ostreida, Ostreidae. The record is from RefSeq and is a predicted model, not a curated record. The transcript is spliced from 6 exons.